CAGAAAAUAGUUUAUAAAAAAUUUUAAUUUUGGAGAUUAAUGAUAAGUUAUUUAAUUACUUUUUUCUGA
Molecule: transfer RNA, 69 nt
Filed under: Asicimbex sp. CSCS-Hym-MC0132
Lineage: Eukaryota; Metazoa; Arthropoda; Insecta; Hymenoptera; Cimbicidae
Description: tRNA-Pro
Source: RNAcentral